RNAcentral lists this transfer RNA (63 nucleotides) under Alvinocaris chelys. Its description in RNAcentral is "tRNA-His". The record is from RNAcentral. Lineage: Eukaryota; Metazoa; Arthropoda; Malacostraca; Decapoda; Alvinocarididae.
UUCAAAUAGUUUAAGAAAAAUAUCGGUCUGUGGAUCCGAAGAUAUAAAAUUUUAUUUUGGGUA